GGCCAGCAGAUCCCUUGGAGCUGGAGUUACAGGCGAUCACGUUGGCGUUGAGAAACCAUCUCAGGUCGUCUGGAAGAACAGUCAGUGCUCUUAACCGCUGAGCCAUCUCUCCAGCUCCAAAACCUCAUUUCUUUUUUUUUUUUUUUCUUUUUUCUUUUUUUCGGAGCUGGGGACCGAACCCAGGGCCUUGUGCUCGCUAGGCAAGCUAGGCAAGCGCUCUUCCGCUGAGCUAAAUCCCCAACCCCCAAAACCUCAUUUCUUUUUUAAUUUUUUUUUUUUUUUGGUUCUUUUUUUCGGAGCUGGGGACCGAACCCAGGGCCUUGCGCUUCCUAGGUAAGCGCUCUACCACUGAGCUAAAUCCCCAGCCAAAACCUCAUUUCUUAAAGAUCACACAACCUCCAUACAGAACCAUCACUAAGGGACCAAGCUACCAACAGACAGCCUCUGGGGACAUUUCAGAUCCGGGUCAUAGAGAGUGAUCGGUAUCACUUGACACAAUUUAAGAAGAUUCCAUGGAAGAGGCAGACAACAGAUCUACUUUAACUGUGAGAGGCUUCAUGUGUCAGCCCUGCCGGCAGGGUAUGACGUAGCCUAGGAGACUCCCUAUGUGGCUGAGGAUGGUUUUGAACUUUUGAUCCUCCCACCUCUCCUCCCAAGUGCUGGGAUUACUGGUGUGCACCACACCACACCUGGCUUGUCUAUUGUUGGGGAAGGAACCAUGGUUCUGUGAAUACAAGAUUCUGGGAUUAAACUCGGGCCUUCAGGCUUGGAGGCAAGCUGCUUUAUCCACUGGGCCAUCUUGCUAGCCCAUACUGUAUCUUCUACUUCCCUGAAGUUAUUUCCUGUGGGCCAGUGGACCACGCCAGGACACUUGCACACGGACUCACAUCCGGCUUCUCCCAGCUCUACCUGCCCAAGUGGAGUGUCCCACACCUCAGUGGCCGGGCGGAUGAAGACCCACAAUUUCCACCCUGUGAAUAUCCUUUUGUGUAAAUAAUGAAUCUGUGCAUGUGAAUGUGCAUGCACAUACCUGUGGAGGUUGGAGGACAAUCUGGUGUGGCUGCUUGUAUUACGAAUGCGAAUUAUGUUCCUCAUAAAACCGUAAACGCGAGAGGGUCUGCACGUAGCUUCUGGGAACCUGCCCCCAGUUGGUUCUGAUUGGUGAACAAAGAUGCCAGCAGCCAAUAGCUGGGAAGGACAGACAGAGGCGGGAUUUUAGCAUUUCCCUAGCCUGGGACCAAUAGCAGAGAGGAGAAGAAGGGGAAAGUGGAAGAGAGGAGAGUUGCCAUGCCUGAGAAGAGUGCAGGACAGAGAGGCAUGGCCGCCAAUGGAAGGAAUUAGGAGAGUGCGGCCCCGGGGGCCUCCCAACAGAGUCUGGAGCGGCCACCACAUAGAAUUUAGUAAGUAGUAACUUAGAAUUAUUGCCGGGAGGUAGAUACAAACAGCAUGGAGGUUAGGCGGUGGCCGGCUCUUGUGCUGUUUAAGGCAUAUGAACAUACAAAGGCUGAGCGUGUGUCUUUCAUUCGGGAACAUAAACCAUUGGGCCGGCAAAGCCCAGCCACCAGGAUUAAUUAAUAUUUAAUGUUACACUGUGGAUGUCAGCCUCAGGAUCAUCAUCCACCUCCUUUGAGACAAGGUUUCUGAUUGGCCUGGAGCUCACCAUUUAGGCUAAACUGAUCAGCUAGUGAUACCCUGGAGCCUCCUUUCUCCACACCCCCAGUGUUGGCAUUACAAGUACGCGUGAGGCCAUCCCCCUCCCCCUCUUUAUGGCCAUUUUACUAAGUCAGGGAAGGAGGGGAAUUCAGGCUACCAUUUCCCACUGGAGACCUUCUGACAAUCUUUCUACCCGCUUCAAUGUAUCUCUUGCGUUCACUUCUGUCUCCCUGAUCCGCAGCCCGGCAGCCAUGGCUGUACUGUCUUAGAAGACUUUUGAAAGUUGAGGCUUCUGCUGAGAACAUCACGAGGUCCAAGUUCACCAGUGACUUCAGCUUCACAGGGCAAAGGUCACCGGCCCGUUUGUUGUCUGUGGUGGUUUGAAUGAUACUGUUUCUCGAAGACUCUGAUGUUUGAACACUUGGUCACCAAUUGGUGGCACUGUUUAGGUUUAAGUGGUGCAGCCCUUUUGGAGGAAGUACAUCAAUGAGGGCGGGGCUUGAGAGUGUCUAGCCUUUCCUCACUUCCGGUCUGUUUUUUCCGGCUUUCUGCUUGCCUUUGCGGAUGUAAGCAUGCAGCUUCUAGCUCCUGCCACCAUUCCUGCAGCUCCCUGCCAUUCCUCCUGCCACAAUGGUUUUAACCCUCUGGAACCAUGGACUCAAUUAAACCCUUCCAUUGUAGAGUUACCUUGGUCGUGGUAGUUUAUCACAGACACUGGAAGGGAAUAGUAUCUAUCCCAUUUCCUGUCUCACAGGAGCCAGAAGAAGAGGGACCUAAACGAGAGAGAGAGGGAGAGGGAGAGAGAGAGAAAGACAGAGAGACAGAGACAGGGAGACAAAGUCAGAGAGACAGAGAGAGACAGAGAAAGACAGAGAGAGAGAGAGAGAGGGGGAGAGAGAGAGAGAGAGAGAGAGAGAGAGAGAGAGAGAGAGAGAGAGAGACAGAGGGCUGUGGAGAUCUCAAGGACAGAUUCAAUGAUCUAGCAAAACUGUCAGCAAGGGCCACGACAUGCUGUGUGUUACGGUUGUAAUAUUUUGAAAACAAUCCUUUUGUUGUUAUUGUUGAUAAAGCCUUCUGUGAAAAUCUCAUGCUGAAAAUUCCAAUCAUGUCAGGGUCACUAUCCAUUUCCCCUCAUAGUGUUAGAGAGACGCUUGAAACACACACCUGCACACGCAUGCACACACACACACACACACACACACACACACACACACACACCAGCAAACUGC
Molecule: non-coding RNA, 2882 nt
Organism: Rattus norvegicus (Norway rat)
Lineage: Eukaryota; Metazoa; Chordata; Mammalia; Rodentia; Muridae
Source: RefSeq, a predicted model, not a curated record